RNAcentral lists this ribosomal RNA (253 nucleotides) under uncultured bacterium. Its description in RNAcentral is "partial 16S ribosomal RNA". It matches the Rfam family "Bacterial small subunit ribosomal RNA", at positions 524 to 776 of the family's 1533-position model. The record is from RNAcentral.
UACGAAGGGUGCAAGCGUUAAUCGGAAUUACUGGGCGUAAAGCGUGCGUAGGCGGUUUCUUAAGUCUGCUGUGAAAGCCCUGGGCUUAACCUGGGAAUUGCAGUCGAUACUACUUAGCUAGAGUAUGGGAGAGGGCAGUGGAAUUCCCGGUGUAGCGGUGAAAUGCGUAGAUAUCGGGAGGAACAUCAGUGGCGAAGGCGGCUGCCUGGCCCAAUACUGACACUCAGGUGCGACAGCGUGGGGAGCAAACAGG